Molecule: ribosomal RNA, 536 nt
Filed under: uncultured kinetoplastid
Lineage: Eukaryota; Euglenozoa; Kinetoplastea
Description: bacterial SSU rRNA
Rfam family: Eukaryotic small subunit ribosomal RNA
Source: RNAcentral
GCUGUUAAGGGUUCGUAGUUGAAUUGGGGGCUGUUUCGAGUAAGCGUUACCUGGGCCUUCUGUCCUUCGGGAGAUUGUCCCUUUCGCUCUCGCAGCCUGAGAACAUUUGAUACAAACUUCCGGAAACGUUAUCCUUCCACAAAAUUUCGCAUGCCAUGCAUGCAGGGGGACGUCCGUGUUUCUUUCUGUGACAAAAGAAGGGUGACCAAAGCAGUCAUUCGACAUGAAUUAGAAAGCUGGGAUAACAAAGGAGCGGCCUACGGGCUUCCAGUUUGGCUUUUGUUGGUUUUAAAGGUCUGUGGGGAUUGUGGAUGCGCAAGCCCGGCGGUUUACGGUGUCUCACUUCGCGUGUGCCACCGUCCGUCUUCUGUUUCAAGGUUCGUCCUGUUGCAGACUUGUUUUUUGCGUCCAGGAUGAAGGAGGGUUGUUCGGGGGAGAACGUACUUGAGCGUGAGAGGUGAAAUUCUUAGACCGCUCAAGACGAACUACAGCGAAGGCAUUCUCCAAGGAUACCUUCAUCAAUCAAGAACCAAGUG